GGUCUAAGCAAUAUUACCCUGAACGUGCCCAAUCUCAUCUGAUCUCAGAAACUAAGCAGGAUUGGGCCUUGUUAGUAGAUGGAUAGGAAGAAGAGUAUCAAGGAACAGAAUC
RNAcentral lists this ribosomal RNA (112 nucleotides) under Microcebus murinus (gray mouse lemur). Lineage: Eukaryota; Metazoa; Chordata; Mammalia; Primates; Cheirogaleidae. The record is from RNAcentral.